Molecule: long non-coding RNA, 349 nt
Organism: Physella acuta
Lineage: Eukaryota; Metazoa; Mollusca; Gastropoda; Physidae
Source: RefSeq, a predicted model, not a curated record
UUGGCAAUAGGAUAAUUAAAGACAGAAAAGAUCUGAUGCAAAGCCUGAUUGGCAAUGACCCUGACCUUGAACUUGUAGCUGUCAGAGCUUUGUUUCACUUGACACCACAUGCCCAGCAUCCCCAUGAAAUUGUGUGUUUGUAUGCAGAGAUGUUUAAGGAGGGGUUGGUCAGCUUUGAUGUGCUCUACAACUGGUGCCUGUCUAUUGGACCAGGCAAAAAUAACUAGGAUGAAGUUGUGUUUAAAUAAAUUAACAUGUGUUUGUGUGUUCGUUUGCCAAAUGAAUGUACUAUUUUGAUUCCAAUUAUUUAAGACUGCAUUGAAAUAAAAUGUAUUUAUUGAUAUUUUAA